CCUACGGGGGGCAGCAGUGAGGAAUAUUGGUCAAUGGACGAGAGUCUGAACCAGCCAAGUAGCGUGAAGGAUGACUGCCCUAUGGGUUGUAAACUUCUUUUAUAUGGGAAUAAAAUGUUCCACGUGUGGGAUUUUGUAUGUACCAUAUGAAUAAGGAUCGGCUAACUCCGUGCCAGCAGCCGCGGUAAUACGGAGGAUCCGAGCGUUAUCCGGAUUUAUUGGGUUUAACGGGAGCGUAGGUGGAUUGUUAAGUCAGUUGUGAAAGUUUGCGGCUCAACCGUAGAAUUGCAGUUGAAACUGGCAGUCUUGAGGACAGUAGAGGUGAGCGGAAUUCGUGGUGUAGCGGUGAAAUGCUUAGAUAUCACGAAGAACUCCGAUUGCGAAGGCAGUUCACUGGACUGCAACUGACACUGAGGCUCGAAAGUGUGGGUAUCAAACAGGAUUAGAUACCCCUGUAGUC
This 460-nucleotide ribosomal RNA is filed under the name uncultured bacterium. RNAcentral's name for it is "partial 16S ribosomal RNA". It matches the Rfam family "Bacterial small subunit ribosomal RNA", at positions 338 to 795 of the family's 1533-position model. The record is from RNAcentral.